CGAGGUGAGAGCAGAAGGAGGGGCAGGAGGUGCUCCAGGCACUGGAGCAGAGAUUCCCCUGCAGCCGGUGGGAGACACCACAGUGGAGCAGGUAUUUCCCGGCACCUGUGGACGACCACGGUGGAGCAGACAUCCACAUUGCAGCCCAUGGAAGACCCUACACUGGGGCAGAUGUGAAAAAUCAGCGGGAAUCAAAGAUGGUUCCUCAGACAAGUCUGUGGCUCCUUAUUUGAGACGCAUCCAUUGUACUCUGUGAAGAUACCCAUGACAGCUUAUCCCAUGGAUAAGCCCUCAAAAACAAAAAAAA
Falco peregrinus (peregrine falcon) is the source of this 307-nucleotide long non-coding RNA. RefSeq lists it as uncharacterized. The transcript has 3 exons. Lineage: Eukaryota; Metazoa; Chordata; Aves; Falconiformes; Falconidae. The record is from RefSeq and is a predicted model, not a curated record.